RNAcentral lists this unclassified non-coding RNA (142 nucleotides) under uncultured Mycosphaerellaceae. Its description in RNAcentral is "sequence contains ITS2". The record is from RNAcentral. Lineage: Eukaryota; Fungi; Ascomycota; Dothideomycetes; Mycosphaerellales; Mycosphaerellaceae.
CACCACUCAAGCCUGGCUUGGUAUUGGGCGUCGCGGGUCACCGCGCGCCUUAAAGUAUUUCCGGCUGAGCGACCCGUCUCUAAGCGUUGUGGCAACUAUUCGCGGUGAGAUCGGGUGGCGGCGGCCGUUAAAUCUUUCUAAA